AGUGGGGAAUAUUGCACAAUGGGCGCAAGCCUGAUGCAGCCAUGCCGCGUGUGUGAAGAAGGCCUUCGGGUUGUAAAGCACUUUCAGUCGUGAGGAAGGUGGUAGUGUUAAUAGCACUAUCAUUUGACGUUAGCGACAGAAGAAGCACCGGCUAACUCCGUGCCAGCAGCCGCGGUAAUACGGAGGGUGCGAGCGUUAAUCGGAAUUACUGGGCGUAAAGCGCAUGCAGGUGGUUUGUUAAGUCAGAUGUGAAAGCCCGGGGCUCAACCUCGGAACUGCAUUUGAAACUGGCAGACUAGAGUACUGUAGAGGGGGGUAGAAUUUCAGGUGUAGCGGUGAAAUGCGUAGAGAUCUGAAGGAAUACCGGUGGCGAAGGCGGCCCCCUGGACAGAUACUGACACUCAGAUGCGAAAGCGUGGGGAGCAAACAGGAUUAGAUACCCUGGUAGUCCACGCUGUAAACGAUGUCUACUUGGAGGUUGUGGCCUUGAGCCGUGGCUUUCGGAGCUAACGCGUUAAGUAGA
RNAcentral lists this ribosomal RNA (523 nucleotides) under Vibrio vulnificus. RNAcentral's name for it is "bacterial SSU rRNA". It matches the Rfam family "Bacterial small subunit ribosomal RNA", at positions 353 to 868 of the family's 1533-position model. Lineage: Bacteria; Pseudomonadati; Pseudomonadota; Gammaproteobacteria; Vibrionales; Vibrionaceae. The record is from RNAcentral.